CAAAUAUUAGUUGAAGAGUAGGAGGAGAUGGUGCAAAAUUUGGACUAGAGAGAAAUCGAGUUUAUGAGGCUUCAAAGAAGUAAAGUUGGAGUUGAUAAUUUUGAGAAAUUAAUAGUAAUUGACAAAUGUGCUUUUGGUGAGGUAAGGGUAUCUCAUGCUAAAGGCACAGGAGAUGUUUUGGCCAUGAAGAAGUCAAAGAAAUAAAAAAUGCUUAGCCAAGGAUAGGACCUUGACAAAAGGCUAAUAGAAAACAUCUUCGCUGCUGCUUGGUUUCUUCUUUCUUGGUUUGAUCUUUCCUCUGC
This is a long non-coding RNA of Arachis duranensis, 302 nucleotides long. RefSeq lists it as uncharacterized. The record is from RefSeq and is a predicted model, not a curated record. The transcript has 4 exons. Lineage: Eukaryota; Viridiplantae; Streptophyta; Magnoliopsida; Fabales; Fabaceae.